RNAcentral lists this ribosomal RNA (262 nucleotides) under uncultured bacterium. Its description in RNAcentral is "partial 16S ribosomal RNA". It matches the Rfam family "Bacterial small subunit ribosomal RNA", at positions 524 to 777 of the family's 1533-position model. The record is from RNAcentral.
UACGUAGGGUGCAAGCGUUAAUCGGAAUUACUGGGCGUAAAGCGUGCGCAGGCGGUUUUUGUAAGUCUGACGUGAAAAUCCCCCGGGCUCAACCUGGGAAUUGCGUUGGAGACUGCAAGGCUAGAAUCUGGCAGAGGGGGGGUAGAAUUCCACGUGUAGCAGUGAAAUGCGUAGAGAUGUGGAGGAACACCGGUGGCGAAGGCGGGAUCUGGGCCAGUACUGACGCUGAGGGAGCGAAAAGCGUGGGGGGAGCAAAACAGGG